This 1404-nucleotide ribosomal RNA is filed under the name uncultured bacterium. RNAcentral's name for it is "16S ribosomal RNA". It matches the Rfam family "Bacterial small subunit ribosomal RNA". The record is from RNAcentral.
UUCGCCCUUAGAGUUUGAUCCUGGCUCAGGAUGAACGCUGGCGGCGUGCCUAACACAUGCAAGUCGAACGGAGUUCUUACUGAAUGCUACUUCUGUCAAAUGACUUUUGAACUUAGUGGCGGACGGGUGAGUAACGCAUGAGCAACCUGUCUUUCAGAGGGGGAUAACAUUUGGAAACAGAUGCUAAUACCGUGUAAUAUUACUUUACCGAAUGAUACACUGAUAAAAGGACCCAUCCGCUGAAAGAUGGGCUCGCAUCCAAUUACAUAGUUGGGGAAGUAACCGUUCACCAACUCAACGAUCGAAAGCCGGACUGAGAAGUUAAACGGCCACCUUGGGACUGAGACACGGCCCAGACUCCUACUGGAGGCAGCGGGUGGAGAAUAUUGUACAAUGGGCCAAAGCCUGAUGUCACAGCCUCCCGUGAGGGAAGAUCGUUUUCGGAUUGUAAACCUCUGUUUUCGUGUGACGAACAAAUGACGGUACCCGAGUAGGAAGCCACGGCUAACUACGUGCCAGCAGCCGCGGUAAUACGUAGGUGGCAAGCGUUAUCCGGAAUUACUGGGUGUAAAGGGAGCGCAGGCGGGAUAGCAAGUCAGAUGUGAAAUCUCUGGGCUCAACCCAUAAACUGCAGUUGAAACUGUUAUUCUUGAGUGCAGUAGAGGCAAGGGGAAUUCCGAGUGUAGCGGUGAAAUGCGUAGAUAUUAGGAGGAACACCAGUGGCGAAGGCGGCUUUCUGGGCUGUAACUGACGCUGAGGCUCGAAAGUGUGGGGAGCAAACAGGAUUAGAUACCCUGGUAGUCCACACUGUAAACGAUGAAUAGUAGGUGUGGGGGGUGUGGCUCCCCUCCUGCGUGGAGUUAACGCAACAAGCAAUCCUCCUGGGGAGGACGGCGGUAAGGUGGAAACUCAUAGGAAUAGACGGGGACCCGCACCACCAGCGGAUUAUCUGGUGUAAUUAGUAGCAACGAGAAGAACCUCAUCAGGUCUUGACAUCAUAUCAACGAGAUAGAGAUAUGUCAGGUGCCCUUUGGGGAAAGUCGAGACAGGUGGUGCAUGGUUGUCGUCAGCUCGUGUCGUGAGAUGUUGGGUUAAGUCCCGCAACGAGCGCAACCCCUGCCAUUAGUUGCUACGCAAGAGCACUCUAAUGGGACCGCUGCCGACAAGGUGGAGGAAGGUGGGGACGACGUCAAAUCAUCAUGCCCCUUAUGACCUGGGCUACACACGUAAUACAAUGGUCAUUACCAGAGGGAAGCAAAUCCCAGAGGCGGAGCAAAACCCCAAAAAUGAUCUCAGUUCGGAUCGCAGGCUGCAACCCGCCCGCGUGAAGUUGGAAUUGCUAGUAAUCGCAGAUCAGCAUGCUGCGGUGAAUACGUUCCCGGGUCUUGCACACACCGCCCGUCA